RNAcentral lists this transfer RNA (68 nucleotides) under Urocitellus parryii (Arctic ground squirrel). RNAcentral describes it as "Spermophilus parryii (Arctic ground squirrel) tRNA". It matches the Rfam family "tRNA". Rfam says of the family: Transfer RNA (tRNA) molecules are approximately 80 nucleotides in length. Lineage: Eukaryota; Metazoa; Chordata; Mammalia; Rodentia; Sciuridae. RNAcentral also lists the same sequence under 2 other names. The record is from Rfam by way of RNAcentral.
GGGGUUGUAGCUCAGUGGUACAGCCCUUGCCCAGCAUGCAUGAGGCCCUGGGUUCAAUCCCAGCACCA